Molecule: ribosomal RNA, 119 nt
Filed under: Nicotiana sylvestris (wood tobacco)
Lineage: Eukaryota; Viridiplantae; Streptophyta; Magnoliopsida; Solanales; Solanaceae
Source: RNAcentral
UGAUGCGAUCAUACCAGCACUAACGUAAUGGAUCCUAUCAGAACUCCAAAGUCAAGCAUGUUUGGGCGAGAGUAGUACUAAGAUGGGUGACCCCCUGGGAAGUCCUCGUGUUGCAUCCC